RNAcentral lists this ribosomal RNA (603 nucleotides) under Fusarium lunatum. Its description in RNAcentral is "eukaryotic LSU rRNA". It matches the Rfam family "Eukaryotic large subunit ribosomal RNA", at positions 38 to 664 of the family's 3401-position model. The record is from RNAcentral. Lineage: Eukaryota; Fungi; Ascomycota; Sordariomycetes; Hypocreales; Nectriaceae.
GCAUAUCCAAUAAGCGGAGGAAAAGAAACCAACAGGGAUUGCCCUAGUAACGGCGAGUGAAGCGGCAACAGCUCAAAUUUGAAAUCUGGCUCUCGGGCCCGAGUUGUAAUUUGUAGAGGAUGCUUUUGGUGAGGUGCCUUCCGAGUUCCCUGGAACGGGACGCCAUAGAGGGUGAGAGCCCCGUCUGGUUGGACACCGAGCCUCUGUAAAGCUCCUUCGACGAGUCGAGUAGUUUGGGAAUGCUGCUCUAAAUGGGAGGUAUAUGUCUUCUAAAGCUAAAUAUUGGCCAGAGACCGAUAGCGCACAAGUAGAGUGAUCGAAAGAUGAAAAGCACUUUGAAAAGAGAGUUAAAAAGCACGUGAAAUUGUUGAAAGGGAAGCGCUUGUGACCAGACUUGGGCUUGGUUAAUCAUCCGGCGUUCUCGCCGGUGCACUUUUCCAGUCCAGGCCAGCAUCAGUUUGCCUUGGGGGAUAAAAGCUUCGGGAAUGUGGCUCCUCCGGGAGUGUUAUAGCCCGUUGCACAAUACCCUGGGGCGGACUGAGGUUCGCGCAUUCGCAAGGAUGCUGGCGUAAUGGUCAUCAGCGACCCGUCUUGAAAACACGG